AGUGAACGCUGGCGGUAGGCCUAACACAUGCAAGUCGAACGGCAGCACAGUAAGAGCUUGCUCUUACGGGUGGCGAGUGGCGGACGGGUGAGGAAUACAUCGGAAUCUACUUUUUCGUGGGGGAUAACGUAGGGAAACUUACGCUAAUACCGCAUACGACCUACGGGUGAAAGCAGUGGAUCUUCGGACCUUGCGCGAUUGAAUGAGCCGAUGUCGGAUUAGCUAGUUGGCGGGGUAAAGGCCCACCAAGGCGACGAUCCGUAGCUGGGCUGAGAGGAUGAUCAGCCACACUGGAACUGAGACACGGUCCAGACUCCUACGGGAGGCAGCAGUAGGGAAUAUUGGACAAUGGGCGCAAGCCUGAUCCAGCCAUACCGCGUGAGUGAAGAAGGCCUUCGGGUUGUAAAGCCCUUUUGUUGGGAAAGAAAAGCAGCAGGACAAUCCCCGGCUGUUCUGACGGUACCCAAAGAGUAAGCACCGGCUAACUUCGUG
Molecule: ribosomal RNA, 492 nt
Filed under: uncultured bacterium
Lineage: Bacteria
Description: partial 16S ribosomal RNA
Rfam family: Bacterial small subunit ribosomal RNA
Source: RNAcentral